Molecule: ribosomal RNA, 253 nt
Filed under: uncultured bacterium
Lineage: Bacteria
Description: partial 16S ribosomal RNA
Rfam family: Bacterial small subunit ribosomal RNA
Source: RNAcentral
UACGUAGGGUGCAAGCGUUAAUCGGAAUUACUGGGCGUAAAGCGUGCGUAGGCGGUGUUGUAAGGCGGGUGUGAAAUCCCCGGGCUUAACCUGGGAACUGCAUUUGUGACUGCAUCGCUGGAGUGCGGCAGAGGGGGAUGGAAUUCCGCGUGUAGCAGUGAAAUGCGUAGAUAUGCGGAGGAACACCGAUGGCGAAGGCAAUCCCCUGGGCCUGCACUGACGCUCAUGCACGAAAGCGUGGGGAGCAAACAGG